Molecule: long non-coding RNA, 337 nt
Filed under: Macaca mulatta (Rhesus monkey)
Lineage: Eukaryota; Metazoa; Chordata; Mammalia; Primates; Cercopithecidae
Description: lncRNA (ENSMMUG00000045898.2)
Source: RNAcentral
UUAUUUUAUUCUGCCUUUACGUCAACAAUGGCCAGUGAAAACAACUUGGGAGUAAUAAUGAAGAUGGUCAGCGAGCCGAAAGUGUUCCCAGCAAAGCAGCCCUCUGAUCCAUAUACUUCAGCUACAUCUUACAUCACCAAGUUUUUUGCAAACGACAAGACAUGCACCAAAUGCAACAUAAACACAAAUAACCAAGCAGAUGGAGUUUAUGAGAAAAGAGAAGAAUGAUCCUGAGAGGAAAAUAAAGAUACUCAAGAGAAUGUGUGAGGCAUAUUAUGACUUAGUAGUAUAGAAGAACAAAAACUAGCAAAGCACACUGAAGGUAAUUUUAAAAUGU